This 433-nucleotide ribosomal RNA is filed under the name uncultured bacterium. Its description in RNAcentral is "partial 16S ribosomal RNA". It matches the Rfam family "Bacterial small subunit ribosomal RNA", at positions 29 to 507 of the family's 1533-position model. The record is from RNAcentral.
AACGAACGCUGGCGGCAUGCCUAACACAUGCAAGUCGAACGAGACCUUCGGGUCUAGUUGCGCACGGGUGCGUAACGCGUGGGAACCUUCCCGUAUGUUCGGAAUAACUCUCCGCAGGGGGUGCUAAUACCGGAUAAUUUCUUCUGACCAAAGAUUUAUCGCCUUGGGAUGGGCCCGCGUUGGAUGCGCUAUUUGGUAGGGUAAAAGCCUACCAAGGCUAAGAUCCCUAGCUGGUCUGAGAGGAUGGUCAGACACACUGGGACUGUGACACGGCGCAGAUUCUUGGGGGAGGAAGAAGUGGUGAAUAUUGGACGACGGGCGAGAGACUGAUGCAUUAAUGCCGCGUGAGUGAUGAAGGCGUUAGGGUUGUAAAGCUCUUUUACACGCGAUGAUAAUGACAGUACCGAGAGAAUAAGCUCCGGCUAACUCCGUG